This is a long non-coding RNA of Gordionus sp. m RMFG-2023, 171 nucleotides long. RefSeq lists it as uncharacterized. The transcript is spliced from 3 exons. NCBI's taxonomy places the organism in Eukaryota, Metazoa, Nematomorpha, Gordioida, Chordodea, Parachordodidae. The record is from RefSeq and is a predicted model, not a curated record.
AUGUAUCUCAAAUAUCUUCUCAAUCUCAUGGAGAAUCCUUGACCCUCUCAAAUCCAAAUGUAUCUCAAAUAUCUUCUCAAUCUCAUGGAUAAUCCUUGAUCCUCUCAAAUCCAAAUGUAUCUCAAAUAUCUUCUCAAUCUCAUGGAGAAUCCUUGACCCUCUCAAAUCCAA